UGAGUACGAGACGCUAAGGCGUUGAAGCAGUCUAUGUCAGACUUCCAAGAAAAGCUCGCAAUGUCAUAAACAAAUAAUGCCUGUACCAUAACCGACACAGGUGGGUAGGUAGAGUAUACUAAGGGGCGCGAGAUAACUCUCUCUAAGGGACUCGGCAAAAUGACUCCGUAACUUCGGGAGAAGGAGUGCCUUAUUUUUAUAAGGUUGCAAUAACAAGAUCCAAGCAACUGUUUACCAAAAACACAGGUCUCCGCUAAGUCGUAAGACGAUGUAUGGGGGCUGACGCCUGCCCAGUGCCAGAAGGUUAAAGAAGUUGGUUAGUUUCGGCGAAGCUGAUGACUGAAGCCCUGGUGAACGGCGGCCGUAACGAUAACGGUCCUAAGGUAGCGAAAUUCCUUGUCGGGUAAGUUCCGACCCGCACGAAAGGCGUAAUGAUUUGGAUACUGUCUCGGAGAGGGGCUCGGUGAAAUAGACUUGUCUGUGAAGAUGCGGACUACCUGCACCUGGACAGAAAGACCCUAUGAAGCUUUACUGUAACUUGAGAUUGAAAUUGGACUUUAUUUGCGCAGUAUAGGUGGGAGACGUUGAGAAUAUUCUUGCGGGAAUAUUGGAGUCAUCAGUGAGAUACCACUCUUGUAAUGUUAGAUUUCUAACUUUGUAUCAUUAUCUGGUCAAAGGACAGUUUCAGGCGGGCAGUUUGACUGGGGCGGUCGCCUCCCAAACGGUAACGGAGGCGCACAAAGGUUUCCUCUGAACGUGUAGAAAUCGUAUCUAGAGUGUAAAGGCAUAAGGAAGCUUGACUGUGAGACCUACAAGUCGAGCAGGGACGAAAGUCGGUCUUAGUGAUCUGACGGUGCUGAGUGGAAAGGCCGUCACUCAACGGAUAAAAGUUACUCUAAGGAUAACAGGCUGAUCUCCCCCAAGAGUUCACAUCGACGGGGAGGUUUGGCACCUCGAUGUCGGCUCAUCGCAUCCUGGGGCGGUAGUACGUCCCAAGGGUUGGGCUGUUCGCCCAUGAAAGCGGUACGCGAGCUGGGUUCAGAACGUCGUGAGACAGUUCGGUCCAUAUCCGGUGUAGGCGUUAGAAUAUUGAGAGGAGCCUUCUUUAGUACGAGAGGACCGAGAAGGACAUACCUCUGGUGUACCAGUUAUCGUGCCAACGGUAAACGCUGGGUAGCUAUGUAUGGAGUGGAUAACCGCUGAAAGCAUCUAAGUGGGAAGCCCACCUCAAGAUAAGUAUUCUCGU
RNAcentral lists this ribosomal RNA (1246 nucleotides) under metagenome. RNAcentral describes it as "bacterial LSU rRNA". It matches the Rfam family "Bacterial large subunit ribosomal RNA", at positions 1564 to 2817 of the family's 2925-position model. The record is from RNAcentral.